Pundamilia nyererei is the source of this 266-nucleotide long non-coding RNA. RefSeq lists it as uncharacterized. The record is from RefSeq and is a predicted model, not a curated record. NCBI's taxonomy places the organism in Eukaryota, Metazoa, Chordata, Actinopteri, Cichliformes, Cichlidae. The transcript is spliced from 4 exons.
AGAUAAAGAAACAACAACUACAACAGUUACUCACCAGCCAGCAGUGACACCUGCUCCGUCAGCCAACCGUCACCUGUUUGACUUGGGGAUCCGAGCCCUAGUUGUCUUCGUCUGCAGCCUUGUUCUCGUCAUCAUUUACUUCAUUUGGAGACAAAAGUCCAAAAGACGAGGGACUGACGAACAGCUCCACGCCUGUGAUGAGACACCAGCUGGAGCAGAACUUCAUGUUAGAAGUGGAGCAGCGCCUGCAUCAACAUGCUGACAGA